GACGAACGCUGGCGGCGUGCUUAACACAUGCAAGUCGAACGGAAAGGCCCUGCUUUUGUGGGGUGCUCGAGUGGCGAACGGGUGAGUAACACGUGAGUAACCUGCCCUUGACUUUGGGAUAACUUCAGGAAACUGGGGCUAAUACCGGAUAGGAGCUCCUGCUGCAUGGUGGGGGUUGGAAAGUUUCGGCGGUUGGGGAUGGACUCGCGGCUUAUCAGCUUGUUGGUGGGGUAGUGGCUUACCAAGGCUUUGACGGGUAGCCGGCCUGAGAGGGUGACCGGCCACAUGGGGACUGAGAGACGGCCCAGACGCCUACGGGAGACAGCAGUGGGGAAUAUGGCACAAUGGGCGGAAGCCUGAUGCAGCAACGCCGCGUGCGGGAUGACGGCCUUCGGGUUGUAAACCGCUUUCGCCUGUGACGAAGCGUGAGUGACGGUAAUGGGUAAAGAAGCACCGGCUAACUACGUG
RNAcentral lists this ribosomal RNA (468 nucleotides) under uncultured bacterium. Its description in RNAcentral is "partial 16S ribosomal RNA". It matches the Rfam family "Bacterial small subunit ribosomal RNA", at positions 28 to 507 of the family's 1533-position model. The record is from RNAcentral.